Molecule: unclassified non-coding RNA, 253 nt
Filed under: rhizosphere metagenome
Description: partial ribosomal RNA internal transcribed spacer region
Source: RNAcentral
GUUGGUGAACCAGCGGAGGGAUCAUUACAAGAAGCGCCGAAAGGCUGCUUAUAACCAUCGCGAACCUAUCCAUCAGCGUUGCUUCGGCGGGAGCGCUCGCGGGACCGGAGUCUCCCCGGGCCCCGGGCCGUGGACCCACCCCUCAGGGGUGUGGGGCCGCCCGCCGGAGGUACGAAACUCUUGCAUCUUAGUGGCAUCUCUGAGUAAACAAGCAAAUAAGUUAAAACUUUCAACAACGGAUCUCUUGGUUCUG